GUCAACAUUUCUUAUCAACAUUGUUUCGGCAACAUUUGAGUUUGCUUGGCCGCGGUGUUUCUGCAACAAAAACGGAAAAAGAACUCACUCAUUUGGUUUUUUUUUUGUAUUUUUGCGCCUGUAUUGCUUUUGCUUAGCAUUGUUUUGAUUUUUUUCAUCUAGAGUGCCGUUAUAAAAGCGCCACGCUGCACUUUUUGUUUUGCCUUUUACGCUCUUGGCGAAUUUGUUGUGUGAACAUGCGUAAAUUUGGAAGUGCACAUGCAAAACGGCAAAAAAAAAUCGACAGCGGAGAUAAAGAGGAGGAAGACAACGAAAUAAUUUGUAAGAAAA
Long non-coding RNA from Drosophila sechellia, 330 nucleotides. RefSeq lists it as uncharacterized. The transcript has 2 exons. The record is from RefSeq and is a predicted model, not a curated record. Lineage: Eukaryota; Metazoa; Arthropoda; Insecta; Diptera; Drosophilidae.